AGCGAACGCUGGCGGCAGGCUUAACACAUGCAAGUCGAGCGGGCAUCUUCGGGUGUCAGCGGCGGACGGGUGAGUAACGCGUGGGAACGUGCCUUCUGGUUCGGAAUAACUCAGGGAAACUUGAGCCAAUACCGGAUACGCCCUUUUGGGGAAAGGUUUACUGCCGGAAGAUCGGCCCGCGUCUGAUUAGCUAGUUGGUGGGGUAACGGCCUACCAAGGCGACGAUCAGUAGCUGGUCUGAGAGGAUGAUCAGCCACACUGGGACUGAGACACGGCCCAGACUCCUACGGGAGGCAGCAGUGGGGAAUAUUGGACAAUGGGGGCAACCCUGAUCCAGCCAUGCCGCGUGAGUGAUGAAGGCCUUAGGGUUGUAAGGCUCUUUUAUCCGGGACGAUAAUGACGGUACCGGAGGAAUAAGCCCCGGCUAACUUCGUGCCAGCCGCCGCCGUAA
This 451-nucleotide ribosomal RNA is filed under the name uncultured bacterium. RNAcentral describes it as "partial 16S ribosomal RNA". It matches the Rfam family "Bacterial small subunit ribosomal RNA", at positions 29 to 523 of the family's 1533-position model. The record is from RNAcentral.